Molecule: long non-coding RNA, 912 nt
Organism: Erinaceus europaeus (western European hedgehog)
Lineage: Eukaryota; Metazoa; Chordata; Mammalia; Eulipotyphla; Erinaceidae
Exons: 2
Source: RefSeq, a predicted model, not a curated record
AUUCAUGUUAAGUGAAAUAGGUCAGAAACAGAAAGAUGAAUAUGGAUGCUCUCACUCUCAGGCAGAAGUUGAAAAACAAAAGAAGAUCAGAAAAGAAAACACAAGUAGAACCUGAAUUGGAGUUUACGUACUGCACCAAAGUAAAAGACUUUGGGGUGUGUGUGUAUAGGGGGAGAAUACAGGUCCAAAAACGAUAACAGAAGACCCAGUGGGGGUUGUAUUGUUAAAUGGAAAACUGGGAAAUGUUAUGAAUGUACAAACUACUGUAUUUUCUGUCGAAUGUAAAACAUUAUUUCCCCAAUAAAAAAAUUUAAAAUAAAAAAAAAAUAUAUUUAUAAGACCCACAAGUUUGGAUUCAGCUGUGUUGACUAUAUUUACAACAUCAAGAUUGACUCUCUGAGUUUACUUUGGUCAAUGCCACUCAGACCUUUUAGCUGUGAUGCCACUUUGUUCUUUGUCCUGUUGAAUAUGACAAUAUCUUUUGAUAGGUGACAAUAUCCUCCAGGUGAGAGUCUGGGAUGUAGAUAAGACUGGAGGCAGGCAUGUAGGAAAGAGAGAAGUUCAUGGAACAUGAGUGCCUUUCAGUCACCAAGUUGCAGAUGCUACCAUGAUGCCAUCCUGACUUCCCUGGGCAGACAACCUCACCAAUAUGUCCUGGAACCCCACCUCCCCAGAGUCCUACCCCACUAGGGAAAGGUAAAAAAAGGCUGGAGGUUUGGAUCCACCUGACAUCACCCAUGUCUAGCAGAGAAGUAACUACAGAAGCUAGACUUUCCACCUUCUGCACCCCAUAAAGAAUUUUGCUCCAUACUCCCAGAGGGGUAAAGAAGAGGGAAUUUUCCAAUGGAGGGCAUGGGGCAGGGAACUCUGGUGGUGGGAAAUAUGUGGAAUUGUACCCCUGUUAUCUUACAA